GAUGAACGCUGGCGGCGUGCCUAAUACAUGCAAGUCGAGCGAAUGGAUUAAGAGCUUGCUCUUAUGAAGUUAGCGGCGGACGGGUGAGUAACACGUGGGUAACCUGCCAUAAGACUGGGAUAACUCCGGGAAACCGGGGCUAAUACCGGAUAACAUUUUGAACCGCAUGGUUCGAAAUUGAAAGGCGGCUUCGGCUGUCACUUAUGGAUGGACCCGCGUCGCAUUAGCUAGUUGGUGGGGUAACGGCUCACCAAGGCAACGAUGCGUAGCCGACCUGGGAAGGUGAUCGGCCGCACGGUGACUUGGACACGGCCCGAACUCAUACGGGAGGCAGCAGUAGGGAAUCAUCCGCAAUGGACGAAAGUCUGACGGAGCAACGCCGCGUGAGGUAUGAAGGCUUUCGGGGCGUAAAACGCUGUUGUUAGGGAAGAACAAGUGCUAGUUGAAUAAGCUGGCACCUUGACGGUACCUAACCAGAAAGCCACGGCUAACUACGUGCCAGCCGCCGCCGUAA
This 514-nucleotide ribosomal RNA is filed under the name uncultured bacterium. RNAcentral describes it as "partial 16S ribosomal RNA". It matches the Rfam family "Bacterial small subunit ribosomal RNA", at positions 28 to 523 of the family's 1533-position model. The record is from RNAcentral.